RNAcentral lists this ribosomal RNA (427 nucleotides) under uncultured archaeon. RNAcentral's name for it is "bacterial SSU rRNA". It matches the Rfam family "Archaeal small subunit ribosomal RNA", at positions 474 to 903 of the family's 1478-position model. The record is from RNAcentral.
UACCAGCCCCCUGAGUGGUAGGGAUGAUUAUUUGGCCUAAAGCGUCCGUAGCCGGCUUAGCAAGUCUUUCGUGAAAUCCAGUGACUUCAUCAUUGGGCGUGCGAGAGAUACUACUAGGCUUGAGGACGGGAGAGGUCGACGGUAUUUCGGGGGUAGGGGUAAAAUCCUAUAAUCCUCGGAGGACCACCAGUGGCGAAGGCGGUCGACUAGAACGUGCCUGACGGUGAUGGACGAAAGCUGGGGGAGCAAACCGGAUUAGACACCCGGGUAGUCCCAGCUGUAAACGAUGCGGGCUAGGUGUUGGGGCAGCUACGAGCUGCUCCAGUGCCGCAGAGAAGUCAUUAAGCCCGCCGCCUGGGAAGUACGGUCGCAAGACUGAAACUUAAGGAAUUGGCGGGGAGCACCACAAGGGUGAAGCCUGCGGUUC